GAUGGAAGAACGUAGCGAAAUGCGAUAAGUAGUGUGAAUUGCAGAAUUCAGUGAAUCAUCGAAUCUUUGAACGCACAUUGCGCCCCUUGGUAUUCCAUGGGGCAUGCCUGUUCGAGCGUCAUUUGUACUCUCAAGCUAAGCUUGGUGUUGGGUGUUUGUCCACUCCCUCGUGUUUGGACUCGCCUUAAAACAAUUGGCAGCCAGUGUUUUGGUAUUGAAGCGCAGCACAAUUUGCGAUUCUAGCCUAGAAUACUAGCAUCCAUCAAGUCAUUUUUAACGCUUGACCUCGGAUCAGGUAGGGAUACCCGCUGAACUUAAGCAUAUCAAUAAGCGGAGGA
Molecule: unclassified non-coding RNA, 338 nt
Filed under: soil metagenome
Description: partial contains 5.8S ribosomal RNA, internal transcribed spacer 2, and large subunit ribosomal RNA
Rfam family: 5.8S ribosomal RNA (bases 5-121)
Source: RNAcentral